GGAGGGGUCGCAUAGUGGACUAGUGCGGUCGUCUUGAAAACGACUAAGGGUUUACGCCCUUCGAGAGUUCGAAUCUCUCCCCCUCCGCCA
This 90-nucleotide transfer RNA is filed under the name Candidatus Curtissbacteria bacterium. RNAcentral describes it as "tRNA-Ser". It matches the Rfam family "tRNA". Rfam says of the family: Transfer RNA (tRNA) molecules are approximately 80 nucleotides in length. Their secondary structure includes four short double-helical elements and three loops (D, anti-codon, and T loops). Further hydrogen bonds mediate the characteristic L-shaped molecular structure. tRNAs have two regions of fundamental functional importance: the anti-codon, which is responsible for specific mRNA codon recognition, and the 3' end, to which the tRNAs corresponding amino acid is attached (by aminoacyl-tRNA synthetases). tRNAs cope with the degeneracy of the genetic code in two manners: having more than one tRNA (with a specific anti-codon) for a particular amino acid; and 'wobble' base-pairing, i.e. permitting non-standard base-pairing at the 3rd anti-codon position. The record is from RNAcentral. Lineage: Bacteria; Candidatus Curtissiibacteriota.